CUAUUGUACACUAAUAAAUGAGUGAAACUUGGAACGAUACAGAAAAUAUUAGCAUGGCCACUGCGCAAGGAUGACCCACAAAAUCUUGUGCGUUUCGCAUUUUUU
Small nuclear RNA from Malaya genurostris, 105 nucleotides. The record is from RefSeq and is a predicted model, not a curated record. NCBI's taxonomy places the organism in Eukaryota, Metazoa, Arthropoda, Insecta, Diptera, Culicidae.